CUUGGUUGAUCCUGCCAGUAGUCAUAUGCUUGUCUCAAAGAUUAAGUCAUGCAUGUGUAAGUAUGAACUAAUUCAGACUGUGAAACUGCGAAUGACUCAUUAAAUCAGUUAUAGUUUGUUUGAUGGUAUCUACUACUCGGAUAACCAUAGUAAUUCUAGAGCUAAUACGUGCAACAAACCUCGACUUCUGGAAGGGAUGCAUUUAUUAGAUAAAAGGUUGACGCGGGCUCUGCCCGUUGCUCUGAUGAUUCAUGAUAACUCGACGGAUCGCACAGCCAUCGUGCUGGCGACGCAUCAUUCAAAUAUCUGCCCUAUCAACUUUCGAUGGAAGGAUAGUGGCCUAUCAUGGUGGUGACGGGUGACGGAGAAUUAGGGUUCGAUUCCGGAAGGGAGCCUGAGAAACGGCUACCACAUCCAAGAAAGGCAGCAGGCGCGCAAAUCACCCAAUCUUGACACGGGGAGGUAGUGACAAUAAAUAACAAUACCGGGCUCUUAGAGUAUGGUAAUUGGAAUGAGUACAAUCUAAAUCCCUUAACGAGGAUCGAUUGUAGGGCAAGUCUGGUGCCAGCAGCCUCGGUAAUUCCAGUUCCAAUAGCGUAUAUUUAAGUUGUUGCAGUUAAAAAGCUCGUAGUUGGACCUUGGGUUGGGUCGACCAGUCCGCCUCUGGUGUGCACCGGUCGGCUCGUCCCUUCUACCGGCGAUACGCUCCUAGCCUUAAUUGGCCGGAUCGUGCCUCCAGUGCUGUUACUUUGAAGAAAUUAGAGUGCUCAAAGCAAGCCUACACUUUGGAUAUAUUAGCAUGGGAUAACAUCAUAGGAUUUUGGUCAUAUUCUGUUGGCCUUCGGGAUCGGAGUAAUGAUUAACAGGGAUAGUCGGGGGCAUUCAUAUUUCAUAGUCAGAGGUGAAAUUCUUGGAUUUAUAAAAGACGAACAACUGCGAAAGCAUUUGCCAAGGAUGUUUUCAUUAAUCAAGAACGAAAGUUGGGGGCUCGAAGACGAUCAGAUACCGUCCUAGUCUCAACCAUAAACGAUGCCGACCAGGGAUCGGUGAAUGUUUCUUAGGACUCCGCCGGCACCUUAUGAGAAAUCAAAAUUUUUGGGUUCCGGGGGGAAGUAUGGUCGCAAGGCUGAAACUUAAAGGAAUUGACUAGCUAGUGGCAUUAUCAUAAGAAUCGAAAAUAUGGAGGGCUAAUCACAUUCCGACACGUGGCUCUUAAAAAUCAUAUCUGAAAAAUUAUUGAGAGCAUUUUUGCUCACCACUUUAACUCAAGGUGUACACAACCCUUCCCAAAAGCUGACACAUGUCCGUGGGUUUAACUAUAGUUAACUCUUUAUUUUUUUUAUUUAUUUGAUGACAUUAUUAUGAGAGAGAAACAAUGGUUUAAUAAAUUUUUUCCUGAUUUACCCUUUUUCUAUUAAUUAACCCAUGCACAACGUAGAUUUCAGCUGGGCCGUGCCAGGCCCUGGGGGAGUUCUGUGAUGACUGAUAAAGCUUCUGGUGCCAAGCGCACACCAGUGAUGGGUCCCGGGGGUCGGGCCCAUCACGAGAAAUGACAAUAUUAUGUUGGAAUGUGCAUGGUUUGGGCAACCCACGUACAUUUCGAGCUCUGAGAUUCCUUCUCAGAGAUAAAAAGCCUCGCAUCAUCUUUUUGUCGGAGACUAAAAAGACGGUGCACCAGAUGGAGUGUGUGCAACGGCAGUUGGGUAUGAUGGGGUGUUUCAGUGUUGGGAGAGAAGGCAGGGCGGGGGGUUUAGCGUUAUUAUGGCAGCACGGAGUGGAUGUAUCUAUUCUGUCUUAUUCGCCAGGGCAUAUUGA
Molecule: ribosomal RNA, 1815 nt
Filed under: Prunus yedoensis var. nudiflora
Lineage: Eukaryota; Viridiplantae; Streptophyta; Magnoliopsida; Rosales; Rosaceae
Description: SSU rRNA
Rfam family: Eukaryotic small subunit ribosomal RNA (bases 1-1168)
Source: RNAcentral